This 489-nucleotide ribosomal RNA is filed under the name uncultured bacterium. Its description in RNAcentral is "bacterial SSU rRNA". It matches the Rfam family "Bacterial small subunit ribosomal RNA", at positions 29 to 507 of the family's 1533-position model. The record is from RNAcentral.
AUGAACGCUGGCGGCGUGCCUAAUACAUGCAAGUCGAGCGGUAAGGCUUUCACAGUUUAUAUCUCUCCCAGUUUAUUUGGGGUAAAGAGGUGUAAAGCGUGAAAGUACACGAGCGGCGGACGGCUGAGUAACACGUAGGAAUCUACCCCAAAGUGAGGGAUAACUGCUCGAAAGAGUAGCUAAUACCACAUGUGGUCCAAGGACUAAAGCUACGGCGCUUUGGGAAGAGCCUGCGUAAGAUUAGCUAGUUGGUGAGGUAAUAGCUCACCAAGGCGACGAUCUUUAGCUGGUCUGAGAGGAUGAUCAGCCAGACUGGGACUGAGACACGGCCCAGACUCCUACGGGAGGCAGCAGUAGGGAAUUUUCCACAAUGGGCGCAAGCCUGAUGGAGCAACGCCGCGUGCAGGAUGAAGGCUUUCGGGUCGUAAACUGCUUUUAUUUGUGACGAUUAUGACAGUAGCAAAUGAAUAAGGGUCGGCUAACUACGUG